UACGUAGGGUGCAAGCGUUAAUCGGAAUUACUGGGCGUAAAGCGUGCGCAGGCGGUUCGGAAAGAAAGAUGUGAAAUCCCAGAGCUUAACUUUGGAACUGCAUUUUUAACUACCGGGCUAGAGUGUGUCAGAGGGAGGUGGAAUUCCGCGUGUAGCAGUGAAAUGCGUAGAUAUGCGGAGGAACACCGAUGGCGAAGGCAGCCUCCUGGGAUAACACUGACGCUCAUGCACGAAAGCGUGGGGAGCAAACAGGAUUAGAAACCCUGGUAGU
This 271-nucleotide ribosomal RNA is filed under the name uncultured bacterium. RNAcentral's name for it is "partial 16S ribosomal RNA". It matches the Rfam family "Bacterial small subunit ribosomal RNA", at positions 524 to 794 of the family's 1533-position model. The record is from RNAcentral.